CCUACGGGAGGCAGCAGUGGGGAAUAUUGCACAAUGGGGGCAACCCUGAUGCAGCGACGCCGCGUGAGUGAAGAAGUAAUUCGUUAUGUAAAGCUCUAUCAGCAGGGAAGCAAAUGACGGUACCUGAGUCAGAAGCCCCGGCUAACUACGUGCCAGAAGCGGCGGUAAUACGUAGGGUGCAGGCGUUAUCCGGAUUUACUGGGUGUAAAGGGAGCGUAGACGGCAGUACAAGUCUGGAGUGAAAGGCGGGGGCUCAACCCCCGGACUGCUCUUGAAACUGUACGUCUGGAGUGCAGGAGAGGUAAGGGGAAUUCCUAGUGUAGCGGUGAAAUGCUUAGAUAUUAGGAGGAACACCAGUGGCGAAGGCAGCUUACUGGACUGUAACUGACGUUGAUGCUCGAAAGCGUGGGGAGCAAACAGGAUUAGAUACCCUUGUAGUC
RNAcentral lists this ribosomal RNA (440 nucleotides) under uncultured bacterium. RNAcentral describes it as "partial 16S ribosomal RNA". It matches the Rfam family "Bacterial small subunit ribosomal RNA", at positions 338 to 795 of the family's 1533-position model. The record is from RNAcentral.